Long non-coding RNA from Poecilia latipinna (sailfin molly), 1175 nucleotides. RefSeq lists it as uncharacterized. The transcript is spliced from 6 exons. The record is from RefSeq and is a predicted model, not a curated record. NCBI's taxonomy places the organism in Eukaryota, Metazoa, Chordata, Actinopteri, Cyprinodontiformes, Poeciliidae.
UAACGCAAACAUUAUUUUUACUAUUUUCUCCACUGUUUGUUCCACAAGACCAUCAAAAAAUAUAAGUAGAUCAUACUUAUAUUCUGAGAGGUGCUUUUUAGACUCUUAUCAAAAUUAAUGUAUUCCGUAAAACUGAAACGAAAUACUUUUUCACGUCAUGCGUCACGUGAUCAACAACCGGACAUUACCACUGACGGAAGAAGAAAACGACAUGAAGUGGACUUUGCACAGUUGCUCUGAAGAGCUGCAGGAGGGAUUACACGACUGACGUUUUUAUGAGAUGAAGCUGACCACAACUGCUGAGGCGAGACAGUGGUGGAAAAAUAGCAAACCUGCAAUCAGGAAAAUAGAAAGACACAAUAUAUUGAAAUAGUAUUAUUAUCAGAAGGGGACUUCUGUUAAUUUGUUGAGUGUGCAUCCGGUGACAAAUGGGAAGUAACCGAAAGCGCCUAUCUUACUGAUGCAACGACCAACAAAACGCUCUUAGCAUCUCCACAUUUUGACCCUGCGAUCCAACUGCUGUAAGCAGAAAACGGGCCGGUCACUAAACGCAACGUCAGCUGUAAAUCCACAGGAGACCGUCCACGGUUCCUACGUUUUAACAAGUGUCGCUCCAUGUUGGUUCGUCGCACUUCAGACUCAUUGAGAGCUGUAGUGCAGCAGCAGCCUGCCACGGUCUGCUGAUUUCUAGCUGGAAGAUGGGGAUCGGCAGGGGAGCGCAGUCUGGCUGUGGGCAGCUGAGCCACACACUCACACACACACACACAAAGAAGCAGGUGUUGCAUCACAUGAACCUGUCACGCAUGAUCAGCGACGUUGUAAAGGGACUGCAUCUGCAAGAUGGUCACAUUUUCCAUCAAGAAGAGGAAAAAGAAUUGGAAGGUGUUAGUACUUAUUUCAAUAAGAAUACGCUGACAAUAAAAACAUGAUGAAUGCUGAACAGAAAACAGCAGCUAGUUCUGCUUUGUGGAUAUUUGUGUUGAUGACAUCAGAAGAGGUACGGGAAUCUAUACAUUUUAUAGAGUGGAUGCAUGCUUUGACUAUAGAAGUAAACUUUCUUUCAAGUCAUAUUUGAUGUAAAUAGCAUUUUUAUAACAAACACAUGAAGAAAAAAUGGUUAUUUGAUUCUUCAUUGUAAUUCUUAAAUAAUAAUUAAAAAAAAAAUACUCAAAUGA